CAAUAGCGUAUAUUAAAGUUGUUGCAGUUAAAAAGCUCGUAGUUGGAUUUGUGGCGUACGGUGUGUUCCGGGCACUUGUUGUCUGAGUAACCUGCUGUUGCCAUCCUUGGGUGGAACCUGUGUGGCAUUAGGUUGUCGUGCAGGGGAUGCCCAUCAUUUACUGUGAAAAAAUUAGAGUGUUCAAAGCAGGCUUAUGCCGUUGAAUAUAUUAGCAUGGAAUAAUGAGAUAGGACUUUUUUGCUAUUUUGUUGGUUUGCGCAAAGAGGUAAUGAUUAAUAGGGACAGUUGGGGGUAUUCGUAUUCCAUUGUUAGAGGUGAAAUUCUUGGAUUUUUGGAAGACGAACUACUGCGAAAGCAUUUACCAAGGAUGUUUUCAUUAA
This 380-nucleotide ribosomal RNA is filed under the name uncultured eukaryote. RNAcentral's name for it is "partial 18S ribosomal RNA". It matches the Rfam family "Eukaryotic small subunit ribosomal RNA", at positions 592 to 976 of the family's 1831-position model. The record is from RNAcentral.